Molecule: transfer RNA, 94 nt
Filed under: Syntrophomonadaceae bacterium
Lineage: Bacteria; Bacillati; Bacillota; Clostridia; Eubacteriales; Syntrophomonadaceae
Description: tRNA-Ser
Rfam family: tRNA
About the family: Transfer RNA (tRNA) molecules are approximately 80 nucleotides in length. Their secondary structure includes four short double-helical elements and three loops (D, anti-codon, and T loops). Further hydrogen bonds mediate the characteristic L-shaped molecular structure. tRNAs have two regions of fundamental functional importance: the anti-codon, which is responsible for specific mRNA codon recognition, and the 3' end, to which the tRNAs corresponding amino acid is attached (by aminoacyl-tRNA synthetases). tRNAs cope with the degeneracy of the genetic code in two manners: having more than one tRNA (with a specific anti-codon) for a particular amino acid; and 'wobble' base-pairing, i.e. permitting non-standard base-pairing at the 3rd anti-codon position.
Source: RNAcentral
GGAGAGAUGGCCGAGACGGUCGAAGGCGCUCGACUCGAAAUCGAGUAGGCGGCUAACCCCCGCCUCGUGGGUUCGAAUCCCACUCUCUCCGCCA